UCGAAUGAGAAUUUAAAAAAA
This 21-nucleotide non-coding RNA is filed under the name Caenorhabditis elegans. Lineage: Eukaryota; Metazoa; Nematoda; Chromadorea; Rhabditida; Rhabditidae. The record is from RNAcentral.